ACUGAGCCUUCCUUACCCUCGAGGGCUGGACCAGCAGGGGUUUGUGAGUACACAUGCGCAGAGUCCCAUGCUGCAAGCGUUUGCUUGGUUUGCUCCAGGUCUAGCAAGCAAAUCCCUUCAGAAUACACGUAGGUUUCCUACCGGGAUUGUUGUUGUCACGUGAGCCUUGCCUCCUGAACUGCAAGCACUGAAGUUAUUAAAUGGGGAAGGAGGAGAGCAGAGGGGCAGUUUCAGCCCUGCUCAGCAGCCCUGCCUUUGUCUCAGCUUUUCCAGUGAAAUGUGUCUCCAUUGUCUCUAAAUCUUUAAGCGAUAAAACACUCACUGUUUGUUUCCUUCAGAGAGCGGAGAACUGCAGCGAGGGCAGCUACUGAAGCCAGGUGUGGUUAUCAAGACAGCCUCAAUCUUAUAAAUGGCAGGAAGUGUUGUCUCAUCUGAUCUGGUCUUCAGACUGGUGUUACACGAGGGGAGAAAAGCGAGUGCUUUGGAUCAGACCUUAAUCUGCUGACUGGCCUUCAGGAGGAUGCCUUGUAGGAGAAGGACUUGUCCAGCGAACCUCAGGUAACUGGGGCCUUGUAAUGCAGAGAGCACCGCAAACCUUGCUGUGGUGCAAACCCCAAAGACCAUUGUGGUGUUCAGCUCCAUCCUAGAGGACUGCAGCAGCAGAGCUGGCUUAGCUUUGCAGAGGGGUAAGCUUUGUAGACUCAUAUCUUGGUGAGAGCAGGACCCUCCACACCUCCACCACUCUUGGUGGCAUUGUUACAGUGCCUUCUUAGAGGGAUUUACCUGUAACAGAGGCCAGCUCUAGUGGCAAACAGGCAAAUGGGCUUCUCCAGCACUAGUCCCAGUCUGCAGAGCUUUGAUACCGACUGAAUUGUAAGUUUUGCUGUGGUUGGAGCUGGUUUUUCAGGUCCUUUUUAGCUGGAGAAAAGAAGGGUGUGAGGAGACUGCACUGGAAAGAGCAAGUGAAUGCUGACAGUGGUACGCAGACACUCCCCAGGUAGCUGGGCUGACACUUUUCUUACUCCUCUAUGUGCAUCAAUCCAAGGAGCUUACAGAAAAUGAGUCAACAAGUUUUGCUGGAUCUCUUCCGAAGGCCUUUCAGCUUUUCACAGCAGUCUUCUGGAGAAGAGUGCUGGGAGAUUACACAGGAGUCGAGUGGAGUGGAAAGCAUCUAACAGACUCCUUCAAAAAUUGUGAAUGUGAUGUCACUGCCUGGGUUUACAAGUGGCAGUGGAAGAGCAGCGGUAUGCUGUGGCAAGGAGGAUUUGAGCACGUUUGCAGGAAGAAUUUUACACGUUUCCCAGUGUUGCUGCCAGAGAAUCUCGUUUGUUUUGAGGGAUACAGCAAGUAUUGUCUGCAGCCAUGGGAUGUGAAAGGUAAAUAUGUUGCUGGCAAGGCAGCAGAUCUCAUGUAGCUGCAGAAAGGUUGGUUAGUAGACAAGUACUUUUUCUCAGGUGCUUUGUUGUUUUCUAAUGAAUUUGGGUGUCUUGUACUCAUCUGUAACCAGGCAUACUGGUAAGUGGUCCCUAAAUCAGCAUCGGUGCUCAAAUCUGCGAGCUUGCAGGGUGAUGCCAUCACCAGUGGUGAUAGGUGAAGGAUGAAGUAACGUCGUGCUCUCCUAUGCUGCCCCAAGCUAAAUAGCUCCGUCUUCAGAAGAGUAGCCCCACUCUCUGAAUUUCAAAGAAAUCUCUGCUGCUGUGCUGCGGGCAGGGACAUAUUUGCGGGGUAUUAGAACAGCAUCAGGCAUGUGAGGAACCCUAAACAGUUCCUUAGCCCAUGUGCCCCCUCUGUAAGGUGGGGGGGAGGCUGCACAGGUGAGUCAUGCAGAUGCUGAGGUCAUCAGGGCAAUUCUGAUUGCAAGGAACUCCUAUUUGCAGCUCUCCAGAUUUUUUUUCUUUAUUUUUUUUUCUUUAAAAUGAAAAAAGAAAACAAGCCUAUUUUUUUCUCUGCUGAUUUGGUUCUGCAAUUGUCACUGCAGAUCGUAGUGCACUGAGAUGCACCAAGAGGUUUUUCUCUCUGUUUCCUUACAGCGAGCCUAGCAGUGACUUUGGGAGCAGAAGCAUUAGGGUAAAGCUAAAGUGUUGGGGGGCAGGGGGCGAAGAGGACUUUGAUUUAUGUACUGGUAGGGUCUGCUCAGCCUUUGGUCUGCCUCAUUCUCUAAUUUUCUGUCUGUGUUGCAUAUUUUUGUCUCCCCAGGUACUUCUCCCAGCACUUCUUAGCUCGUUUGCGUUUAAUCUUCCCGGUAAGUCUACAGCCCUGGCUGCUCUAAUCUCCGCAGGUCACCGUGCAGCUUACAUGUUUGUUACUCCUUGGCUCUUUGCUGUGAUCAGCAUAUUUGAUCAUGGCUGAAUUUACAUCAAAGAAGCACCUGACAAAGAAGCAGGCCUGAUAAUAGGCUCUGGUUUCUUCUCAGCAACCCAAACAGGUAGAGGCGGACAAGGGAACUCUGGCAGGAUCACAAGGGAGUUCGUGCUCCACUUUCAAUCCAGCGUGCUUUGCUCUCCUGCCUGACAGAGCCCCGAAGACCCCGCUGCUGCUGUAGGCUCCCCAAAAUACAGCUGCCUCUGGAAAAGAGGAAAACAAGGCAGAGGAUUGCCAGCGAACCGAAAAAUCAGUUAUUCGCCCAGCUUUAUGUACCAUAUACCAAGAGCAACUUCGGAGCACCCCGGUGACUGUUUACGUAGUGCAGCUGCUGCUGAGGCCCCCAUUUAGAUGUUGGGGGAAUUAUUACGCUUCUCGGGGUUGCGUGAGAUAGUGAACCAUCAGUAUUAACUCUGCUGGCUGCCGUGCAGGACCUGUGUUUGCAGAAGGCACACGUUAAGCUCUUUGGAGACGGCGGCACGCUAGGAAAAGGCGUCGCGUCAGGAGCUGCGUCGAAGGAGCGGGUCGCAGCUCAGCUUUGUUCCGAAAGAUUGGCGUAGUAAUCAAGAAAAGAUAAAGUCCUCAAUUUCAGGGUUAACCACAGUCAGAAACCACACUUGAAAAUGUGCUUUUCCUAUGGUUGCUCCGGGUGAUAAAUUGUAUAUAACGUGAAGCUAUUUAAACAGAUUGUUUUAACCCUUUUCAGCAGGGCACGUUUUCCUUCUAUAGAAAGAUGUCUGCAGGUGGCACAGGGCGUGCUGGAACCACCAGGCCAGAUUGACUGCUUUUACUGAAGCUGAUGGGGGGGAAAAACACAACCUUAGUUCAGUUCCUGCACAACAGAGACACCCAGUAACCAAAACUGCCAGUCUGACUUGCCUGGUACAGUCUGCGAGUCCUGCUGGAGAGGAAGGAGUUGCACCAAAAGUUUUGUUCCCGCUGUUCAUCAACUUCCGUCUUUCUGCACCUCAGGUGAAGGCCUAGCAUUUAGAGCAGCACAACAAACUCCACAAAACGAGCUCAGGGUGCUAAAUGCUCCUGAGGCUGCAGCUUUACCCCCAUACCGCUGUCCUACCCGGCGCGUACCGGGGUGCGUUUCCAUGCCCAGCUGCAAACGACGAUCGCAUGCAAGCAGCAACCAGGAUGUCUCUGGGCUCACCCUGACCGCAGAGGGACCUUUCUCCUUACUGUUAGUAUUUUUUUUAUCCCUGCCUUUGGAGCACUGACCCUGGCUUAGGUCGAGGCGUGCAGCAGAGUCAGUCAGAGCCAUGCAGACUCACUACCCUCAUGGAGCAGCCCACGGACUGUAGACAGGUCAGUUUUUCCUCCCUAAGGACACGUCAGUUCAGUGAGUCCUGCUCCCCUUGAGCCCUUCUCCUUCCCUGGUCUCUCUCCUUUCACCCCCUGUGCCUCCACGCCCUGCAGGGACCUGUUUUUGAGGCUCCCUCGGGUCUGUGGGUGCCAGCUCCUGCCUGGAGGGAGCAGCUGCCAGGCGGCCGCGCCAGCAGGGAGGUCGCAGCGGGAGCACGGGGUGUGGGAGGGGAGGCAGGAAUAAGGUUCUGGCAGCGAGCUGGGACUUGCUGCCUCUCCGAGCUCAUCCCCAGGGCCACGCCAGAGAGCCGUCCCUCCUGCCUGGCACGUUUCUCUCCCUUUCUCCCCCACCCCUUCGCCCGGGAUUACACAGUCUUGGGGUGGCUCUGCUCUCGGGUGUGGGACUUGAAACUGGUUGAACCAACCCCCAGCGGGUGAUUCACUGGACAUAUUCUGGCCCCUGCUUUGUUCCUGCAGCGUCUGCCA
Oxyura jamaicensis (ruddy duck) is the source of this 4158-nucleotide long non-coding RNA. RefSeq lists it as uncharacterized. NCBI's taxonomy places the organism in Eukaryota, Metazoa, Chordata, Aves, Anseriformes, Anatidae. The record is from RefSeq and is a predicted model, not a curated record. The transcript has 5 exons.